AGUUGUGAUCUUACCAGCAAUAACGCAUCGGAUCCCAUCAGAACCCCGAAGUUAAGCGUGCUUGGGCGAGAGCAGUACUAGGGUGGGUGAUCCCCUAGGAAGUCCUCGUGUUGCAUCCC
This 119-nucleotide ribosomal RNA is filed under the name Nicotiana attenuata. The record is from RNAcentral. Lineage: Eukaryota; Viridiplantae; Streptophyta; Magnoliopsida; Solanales; Solanaceae.